GAUGAAGAACGUAGCGAAAUGCGAUAAGUAGUGUGAAUUACAGAAUUCAGUGAAUCAUCGAAUCUUUGAACGCACAUUGCGCCCCUUGGUAUUCCAUGGGGCAUGCCUGUUCGAGCGUCAUUUGUACCUUCAAGCUCUGCUUGGUGUUGGGUGUUUGUCUCGCCUCUGCGUGUAGACUCGCCUUAAAACAAUUGGCAGCCGGCGUAUUGAUUUCGGAGCGCAGUACAUCUCGCGCUUUGCACUCAUAACGACGACGUCCAAAAGUACAUUUUUACACUCUUGACCUCGGAUCAGGUAGGGAUACCCGCUGAACUUAAGCAUAUCAAUAAGCGGAA
Molecule: unclassified non-coding RNA, 335 nt
Filed under: soil metagenome
Description: partial contains 5.8S ribosomal RNA, internal transcribed spacer 2, and large subunit ribosomal RNA
Rfam family: 5.8S ribosomal RNA (bases 1-120)
Source: RNAcentral